AUGGAAGAGGUUGAGAAGAAGCAGCCAACCUUCCGCAAGUUCACCUACCUCAGCGUGGACCUGGACCAGCUGCUGGACAUGUCCCACAAGCAGCUGAUGUAGCUAUACAGUGCGCGCCAACGGACGCCGCUGAAGCUGGGCCUGCGGCGGCUGAAGCCAGGCCUCUGGCGGAAGCAGCACUAGCUGCCGAGGCCCCUGCCUAAGGCCAAGGAGGCACCGCCCAUGGAGAAGCCGGAAGUGGUGAAGACAUACCAGCAGGACAAGAUCAUUCUGUCCAAGAUGGUGGGCAGCACGGUGGGCGUCUACAACAGCAAGACCUUCAACCAAGUGGAGAUCAAGCCGGAGAUGAUCGGCCACUACCUGGGCGAGUUCCCCAUCACCUACAAGCCUGUGAAGCACGGCCGGCCGGGCAUUGGGGCCACCCACUCCUCCCGCUUCAUCACCCUCAAGUAGUGGCUCCACUAAUAAAGGCACACAUUUCUCC
Molecule: non-coding RNA, 484 nt
Organism: Callithrix jacchus (white-tufted-ear marmoset)
Lineage: Eukaryota; Metazoa; Chordata; Mammalia; Primates; Cebidae
Source: RefSeq, a predicted model, not a curated record